GGAAGUAAAAGUCGAACAAGGUCUCCGUAGGUGAACCUGCGGAGGGAUCAUUACCGAGCUCAUGCCCUACCGGGUAGAUCUCCCACCCUGUGUUAUUAUUACCUUUGUUGCUUUGGCGGGCCGCCGCGCUCCGGCCUCGCUACCGGCUCCGGCUGGUAAGCGCCCGCCAGAGGACCCCAAACCCUGAAUGUUAGUGUCGUCUGAGUACUAUAUAAUAGUUAAAACUUUCAACAACGGAUCUCUUGGUUCUG
This 251-nucleotide unclassified non-coding RNA is filed under the name plant metagenome. Its description in RNAcentral is "partial contains small subunit ribosomal RNA, internal transcribed spacer 1, and 5.8S ribosomal RNA". The stretch from base 1 to 53 matches the Rfam family "Eukaryotic small subunit ribosomal RNA", at positions 1778 to 1831 of the family's 1831-position model. The record is from RNAcentral.